RNAcentral lists this ribosomal RNA (1298 nucleotides) under Klebsiella pneumoniae. Its description in RNAcentral is "partial 23S ribosomal RNA". It matches the Rfam family "Bacterial large subunit ribosomal RNA", at positions 1651 to 2925 of the family's 2925-position model. The record is from RNAcentral. Lineage: Bacteria; Pseudomonadati; Pseudomonadota; Gammaproteobacteria; Enterobacterales; Enterobacteriaceae.
AAACCGACACAGGUGGUCAGGUAGAGAAUACCAAGGCGCUUGAGAGAACUCGGGUGAAGGAACUAGGCAAAAUGGUGCCGUAACUUCGGGAGAAGGCACGCUGGUGUGUAGGUGAAGUCCCUGCGGAUGGAGCUGAGACCAGUCGAAGAUACCAGCUGGCUGCAACUGUUUAUUAAAAACACAGCACUGUGCAAACACGAAAGUGGACGUAUACGGUGUGACGCCUGCCCGGUGCCGGAAGGUUAAUUGAUGGGGUUAUCCGUAAGGAGAAGCUCUUGAUCGAAGCCCCGGUAAACGGCGGCCGUAACUAUAACGGUCCUAAGGUAGCGAAAUUCCUUGUCGGGUAAGUUCCGACCUGCACGAAUGGCGUAAUGAUGGCCAGGCUGUCUCCACCCGAGACUCAGUGAAAUUGAACUCGCUGUGAAGAUGCAGUGUACCCGCGGCAAGACGGAAAGACCCCGUGAACCUUUACUAUAGCUUGACACUGAACAUUGAGCCUUGAUGUGUAGGAUAGGUGGGAGGCUUUGAAGCGUGGACGCCAGUCUGCGUGGAGCCAACCUUGAAAUACCACCCUUUAAUGUUUGAUGUUCUAACGUUGGCCCCUUACCGGGGUUGCGGACAGUGUCUGGUGGGUAGUUUGACUGGGGCGGUCUCCUCCCAAAGCGUAACGGAGGAGCACGAAGGUUAGCUAAUCCUGGUCGGACAUCAGGAGGUUAGUGCAAUGGCAUAAGCUAGCUUGACUGCGAGCGUGACGGCGCGAGCAGGUGCGAAAGCAGGUCAUAGUGAUCCGGUGGUUCUGAAUGGAAGGGCCAUCGCUCAACGGAUAAAAGGUACUCCGGGGAUAACAGGCUGAUACCGCCCAAGAGUUCAUAUCGACGGCGGUGUUUGGCACCUCGAUGUCGGCUCAUCACAUCCUGGGGCUGAAGUAGGUCCCAAGGGUAUGGCUGUUCGCCAUUUAAAGUGGUACGCGAGCUGGGUUUAGAACGUCGUGAGACAGUUCGGUCCCUAUCUGCCGUGGGCGCUGGAGAAUUGAGGGGGGCUGCUCCUAGUACGAGAGGACCGGAGUGGACGCAUCACUGGUGUUCGGGUUGUCAUGCCAAUGGCACUGCCCGGUAGCUAAAUGCGGAAGAGAUAAGUGCUGAAAGCAUCUAAGCACGAAACUUGCCCCGAGAUGAGUUCUCCCUGAGACUUUAAGUCUCCUGAAGGAACGUUAAAGACGAUGACGUUGAUAGGCCGGGUGUGUAAGCGCAGCGAUGCGUUGAGCUAACCGGUACUAAUGAACCGUGAGGCUUAACCUU